Molecule: long non-coding RNA, 272 nt
Filed under: Lathyrus oleraceus (garden pea)
Lineage: Eukaryota; Viridiplantae; Streptophyta; Magnoliopsida; Fabales; Fabaceae
Description: Pisum sativum (pea) long non-coding RNA (PSAT_LNC024379)
Source: RNAcentral
AAAUAGUGAGUUCAAGUUGACUUAAUUAAUAUUAUUUGGAACUGACCUUUUAUUAAUUUGGACAUUUUGGUAACACUAAUAAUGGGUCAAUAGCUUCGGUAGAACAAAUAUUAAAAGUUAGUGCCACUUGAGAUAUUUGUUACUACCACUUCACCACUUUCUAACCACACAAAUAAGCAUGGCCACUUGUUAGUAACCUUGACCCACUCACCACUGUCGCAUCUCGAAAAAUACGAUUUCUCGCGAUGGUCGCGGAAAAAUUAUGUUCGAAC